GACGAACGCUGGCGGCGUGCCUAAUACAUGCAAGUAGAACGCUGAAGGAGGAGCUUGCUUCUCUGGAUGAGUUGCAAACGGGUGAGUAACGCGUAGGUAACCUGCCUGGUAGCGGGGGAUAACUAUUGGAAACGAUAGCUAAUACCGCAUAAUAGCAGUUGUUGCAUGACAACUGUUUGAAAGGUGCAAUUGCACCACUACCAGAUGGACCUGCGUUGUAUUAGCUAGUUGGUGGGGUAACGGCUCACCAAGGCGACGAUACAUAGCCGACCUGAGAGGGUGAUCGGCCACACUGGGACUGAGACACGGCCCAGACUCCUACGGGAGGCAGCAGUAGGGAAUCUUCGGCAAUGGACGGAAGUCUGACCGAGCAACGCCGCGUGAGUGGAGAAGGUUUUCGGAUCGGAAAGCUCGGUUGUAAGAGAAGAACGGGUGUGAGAGUGGAAAGUUCACACUGUGACGGUAUCUUACCAGAAAGGGACGGCUAACUACGUG
RNAcentral lists this ribosomal RNA (495 nucleotides) under uncultured bacterium. RNAcentral's name for it is "partial 16S ribosomal RNA". It matches the Rfam family "Bacterial small subunit ribosomal RNA", at positions 28 to 507 of the family's 1533-position model. The record is from RNAcentral.